This 562-nucleotide long non-coding RNA is filed under the name Dromaius novaehollandiae (emu). RNAcentral describes it as "lncRNA (ENSDNVG00000008140.1)". The record is from RNAcentral. Lineage: Eukaryota; Metazoa; Chordata; Aves; Casuariiformes; Dromaiidae.
CAGGCUUCAAAGAGAACCAGCAUCUCUAUUCUGUGCAGCACCCAGCCUGCUCUCUUUGCUCCAACAGUAAGAAUACCAAACAAGGAAUGCUGCAAUUGAUCCUAGGCAAUAGAAAGUACUUGAAUAUUAAACAAGAAAUAAAUAGGGAUGCAACAAAACUAGCAAUGAAAAGAAGGUGAAGGAGGUCAUGGGAGAGAAAGAUGCUGUGGAAAGUUGAGAUACCUGUGGAUUCUGCACUACUAAAGUGAGUGGAAGCCAUGUUACGAACUUUAAGAGCAGCUGAGAGCAAUGCUAGAGCUGAUAUUUCCUGCCUUUUCUAACCUUAUGUGACCAAAGAAUUUGUCUUCUGCCCCUUCUGGAAUACUUCUCUUGAGAAGCACCAAGGGAACAUUGAAACUGCAGAUAGUUUUGAACAGUUGCUCUUUGCAGGACAGUUAAUACUGAAACAAAAAUCAAGCACAAGGAUGUCUUUUGGAGGGCUGCUGCCUAGCAGCUGUGCCCAGUUCACUGACCUCGGUGGGAGUUCCUGAGUCCUCUAUGAAUUCAGGUUUGUCAUCCAAAU